Molecule: ribosomal RNA, 447 nt
Filed under: uncultured bacterium
Lineage: Bacteria
Description: partial 16S ribosomal RNA
Rfam family: Bacterial small subunit ribosomal RNA
Source: RNAcentral
ACCAGACUCCUACGGGAGGCAGCAGUGGGGAAUAUUGCACAAUGGGGGGAACCCUGAUGCAGCGACGCCGCGUGGGUGAAGGAGCACCUCGGUGCGUAAAGCCCUAUCGGCAGGGAAGAAACAGACGGUACCUGACUAAGAAGCCCCGGCUAACUACGUGCCAGCAGCCGCGGGAAUACGUAGGGGGCAAGCGUUAUCCGGAUUUACUGGGUGUAAAGGGGGCGCAGACGGCAAUGCAAGCCAGGAGUGAAAGCCCGGGGCCCAACCCCGGGACUGCUCUUGGAACUGCAUGGCUGGAGUACAGGAGGGGCAGGCGGAAUUCCUAGUGUAGCGUUGAAAUGCGUAGAUAUUAGGAGGAACACCGGUGGCGAAGGCGGCCUGCUGGACUGUGACUGACGUUGAGGCCCGAAGGCGUGGGGAGCAAACAGGAUUAGAUACCCGAGUAGA